This 817-nucleotide long non-coding RNA is filed under the name Homo sapiens (human). RNAcentral describes it as "HSALNT0139095". Lineage: Eukaryota; Metazoa; Chordata; Mammalia; Primates; Hominidae. The record is from RNAcentral.
GAUUUACUGUUUUUAAAAAACAGAAUGGUUACAUCAGAUAAUAAAAUCAAGACUACAAGUAUUCACUUUUUUUCAUCUGCAUGAUACAAGAGGCAGGACAGUGUUCCCCAGAGAGUUCAGUUAGUAACAUUUUAUGCAGGAGCACUGAUUGGCUCUACUCGGGUCAUUUGACAAUAUCUGGAUAUGUCUUUGAGGCCAAACAGGGGAGCGAUAUGAUUGGUUCAGUUUCUCUCUUAUAUAGCAAACCUCUCUGAGCAUAAAGGAAUUGAUGAUGUUUACUAGAAUCAUAUGGAGAUGAGCAGAAACUUCCUCUAAAGAAUGAAAAGGCUGAUACCCCCCAAAGGAGGAGGUCAAGAUGCUGGUCUGGCACACUCUUCCUGCGUUUAACCUCACUGAAGCCAGACUAAUCCACAGAUGUACUUAAAUGCCUAUGACUCAUAUGAAGGUUAUCGUUUUAGAAGAGACCUUGAAAACAUACUCUGGAUUUAGAGUAAAAAAAAUAAAAUAAACUGACAUUUCCAAGAGGAAAGACUUCUUUUAAUUUUAUAUUGCACAUGCAGAGCUAAAAGCAUAUAAACAUGUACAGUAAAUAGCAUAAUAUUAAUCACAUAAUGAAAAUUACAUCUAAAUGAGAAACAUGUUGUAAACUACAGUCACAAAAAAACAUACAAAAUUAAUGUGGACACCUGCCGGCUUUCCUUAUAUCAAGAGAAAAUAAAACUCAUUGUAAUUUAAUGAAUUAUUUUCUGUUAUAGUGCACUAAUUAUCUCUUCCUUUCACCCUCAGGAAGCAUCUUUUUAAAUUUCCAGUUGGAUCU